GACGAACGCUGGCGGCGUGCUUAACUCAUGCAAGUCGAACGAAGAGCGAUGGAAGCUUGCUUCUAUCAAUCUUAGUGGCGAACGGGUGAGUAACGCGUAAUCAACCUGCCCUUCAGAGGGGGACAACAGUUGGAAACGACUGCUAAUACCGCAUACGAUCUAAUCUCGGCAUCGAGGAUAGAUUAAAGGUGGCCUCUACAUGUAAGCUAUCACUGAAGGAGGGGAUUGCGUCUGAUUAGCUAGUUGGAGGGGUAACGGCCCACCAAGGCGAUGAUCAGUAGCCGGUCUGAGAGGAUGGACGGCCACAUUGGGACUGAGACCCGGCCCAGACUCCUACGGGGAGGAGCAGGGGGGAAUCUUCCGCAAUGGACGAAAGUCUUGCGGAGCAAAGCCGCGUGAGUGAUGACGGCCUUCGGGUUGGAAAGCUCUGUUAAUCGGGACGAAAGGCCUUCUUGCGAAUAGUGAGAAGGAUUGACGGUACCGGAAUAGAAAGCCACGGCUAACUACGUG
RNAcentral lists this ribosomal RNA (510 nucleotides) under uncultured bacterium. RNAcentral describes it as "partial 16S ribosomal RNA". It matches the Rfam family "Bacterial small subunit ribosomal RNA", at positions 28 to 507 of the family's 1533-position model. The record is from RNAcentral.